AAUUGGAGGGCAAGUCUGGUGCCAGCAGCCGCGGUAAUUCCAGCUCCAAUAGCGUAUAUUAAAGUUGUUGCAGUUAAAAAGCUCGUAGUUGAAUUUCGAGACCGGUUUAUUGGUCGUGCUUUUGUACGUACUGGUAUUAUUGGUUUCUCCUUUCUGACGAAUCUUGAUGCCAUUAAUUUGGUGUUUUGGGGAAUCAGAACUGUUACUUUGAAAAAAUUAGAGUGUUUAAAGCAGGCUAACGCUUGAAUACAUUAGCAUGGAAUAAUGAAAUAGGACGUUCGAUCCUAUUUUGUUGGUUUCUAGGAUUGACGUAAUGAUUAAUAGGGAUAGUUGGGGGCAUUAGUAUUCAAUUGCCAGAGGUGAAAUUCUUGGAUUUAUUGAAGACUAACUACUGCGAAAGCAUUUGCCAAGGAUGUUUUCAUUAAUCAAGAACGAAAGUUAGGGGAUCGAAGACGAUCAGAUACCGUCGUAGUCUUAACCAUAAACUAUGCCGACUAGGGAUCGGAUGAUGUUAAUUUUUUAAUGACUCAUUCGGCGCCUUACGGGAAACCAAAGUGU
RNAcentral lists this ribosomal RNA (558 nucleotides) under uncultured Glomus. RNAcentral describes it as "SSU rRNA". It matches the Rfam family "Eukaryotic small subunit ribosomal RNA", at positions 546 to 1106 of the family's 1831-position model. Lineage: Eukaryota; Fungi; Glomeromycota; Glomeromycetes; Glomerales; Glomeraceae. The record is from RNAcentral.